UCCAAGAUGGACAGCUAGAAGUCCGCUAACAACAACAGGAGCCUUUUACGUCUUGAAAACGGGAUAAAAAUGAUCAUCAGAGUCAUUCAAUGUUGGAUUUAUCAUCAUGGACAUGUUGUACAGAGUCUCCGAGAAGACACUGACGUUCCAGGCCGCACUACAAAUCUUCUGAAAGGGCCACGACCGCAGUGUUAGCUCCCAUCAAAACAAACCAUGGUGCGGUCAGCUUGAAAACAUUGGUGAAGGACGCAACAGCCACAAUGUCACGGAACAUCCCCGCCUCCAUCUAUAUUGACUUACCAAACCCUACAGAGCAGCCCCUCAUCAGGCAGGUCCAAGGGUCAAAUGGCCGCACAGUCCGCCUCAUGUCAGAUUUUACAACACACGAGAGGCCUUGAGACACAUUCGCACAUUUCCUCAACACACUGACGGAGAGUGGCCCCUCGUGGGAGAUUGCAUCUCCCACGAUCCCCACUGGCCUUGCCAAUGCUCUUUGCUUUACUGUGUCAAUUAAAGUCAGCAAAAAAUUAUAUCAACCUUAACUUAUGUGCUGCCCAUCCCACUGCAGUGACAUAGCUGGUCUGGCUAAUCUGCAAUGCAGUAUUUUAAAUUUUUUUUUAAAUGCGCCAGCCUUUAACAUAGUGUAUGCUGUGGCGGUGAAACUUUGACUGAUAUUCAGAAUGACUGCCUUCGCUGUAUUGAUGUGAGCUGCUGACACAAGGUGUAAGGUCAACGGGUCAAGGUUACCUUGACAUCUCCUCUGAAAUUCUGUUGGCUGAAAAACAAGACGUUAAAUCUCACAGAGUCACACAACAAAACGUGACACGCACCCACACACUCUUAAGGCAUCAACACGCCUGAACCAAAGUGCGUGUCAGGGGCUGGAACAGUGUCUAAAAACCAGGGGGACCUUCACGUGUGUUUAUAUGUUGUGUGUGUUGUGAUAAAUCUGGCAAUAGAAAACAAGAUAACAAUGCAAAGUAGUUUGUGACUGAUGCGCAUCUCAUGCAUCAUUUGUGUGACAAGAAGUAGAAACAAACCCAUUUCUGUCAUGGUUUUUUCGCACACAACACACGUUCCUUUUUUCAGGCUUUUCACUUCUUUUUGGUGGCCAAAGAGGUCAUUUUGAUACGAUGCUCACUUGUGUCAGAAAUGUAAAAUUACAUAAAAGCAAUCGCAACAGUAUUUUAUUUAAGAUCUAAUUGCAUUGAAAUCGCUGAAUGGGACAAAUAAAUUAAGAUUUAAGAGAGCUUUGUGCCGCAUGUUUAAUUUAUGAGCUACUUCAUGCCAGAAAUCAGUUUUUUUCAACAGGACUGUGUAUGAUGCUGCUGAUGUAAUGGCAUCUGGAAGAUGAAUAUAUAAAAAUAAGUUCCUAAAGAUAGAGAUACUGUAUGUAAGAGAAACACGUGUGAAGCGAUGACCAAAUGAAAAAGAAGAAAUGAAUCUACAGAUAUAGUGCCUGAGCUGCACACAUACAGUCAUUUUUCAAAACAAUCCCAUGGUAAGUAGCACCUCAGUGGAGACGCUCUGGGCACACAUUUUGAAUAUGAAUAUUGUUUUCAUUUCCCCAACAUUACAUUAACUGAGGAUGAUUGCAGUCUCACGGCCUCAGCAUCCAUCAGCUGCUGUAUUACACAGACUGAGGAUUUAACUCAGAAAUGUAGU
This is a long non-coding RNA of Scophthalmus maximus (turbot), 1665 nucleotides long. RefSeq lists it as uncharacterized. NCBI's taxonomy places the organism in Eukaryota, Metazoa, Chordata, Actinopteri, Pleuronectiformes, Scophthalmidae. The transcript has 3 exons. The record is from RefSeq and is a predicted model, not a curated record.